This 1506-nucleotide long non-coding RNA is filed under the name Triticum aestivum (bread wheat). Its description in RNAcentral is "long non-coding RNA (TAES_LNC027165)". Lineage: Eukaryota; Viridiplantae; Streptophyta; Magnoliopsida; Poales; Poaceae. The record is from RNAcentral.
UUUGAGUUAGUCUCCAAAUAGAAGUUGUUGUGUACAUCUUAAGCUUUCCAGAGAGUAUUUAUUUGUGGUUUUUUACUGGGUAGUUUGAGAGCAGCGAUCUCCUCAAGCUUGCUGUCCAAAAAUUAGUAACUCUAUUCAGACAUGAUAUAGCAAAAGAAGCAAUGCAUUGAUACUUCCCCUGUUCCUUUCAUGUUUGCUUGCUAUCUACUACAUAUUAAACCGUCCAAAAUAGGAUCACCAGUCAUGUCAGGAAUGACAUUGUAUUAUUACCAUACUUCAACUACUGAUUGUUGGUAAUUCUGACAGCUCUAUUAUUUGCAUUGCUAAUAUAUUCUGGUAUAUAUUUCAGAUCCUAUGCUACUUAUUUACAUCACAAACUAAUUUGUCAUUUUAAUGUUUUAUAUGCUGGCAUAUGUUUCAGCUUACAUCCAGAUUUGUUUUGCCUUAUGCCUCUGUUUUCGAGUCGUUCGACUAGUCGCGACUAGUCGACGACUAGUCGAUGAGUCGCUGCUCCAGGUUCGACUCAAACUCUCGACUCGACUCCUGGCAUGAGUCGAGCGACUCGAGCGACUAGUCUCGACUAGUCACGACUAGUCGCUCUUUCUGGGUCGAGCGACUCACUUAAAUUGAGCCCAACUGUUAUAUGGGCCGGCCCAUCUCCCCUGGAAACGUAGAUCGAUCAUCCCCCACCCCCUCCCCCGAUCGAACCCUCUCCAGCCGCCACCCCUGGUUGCCCCUGCUGCUGUUCUGCUCGUCCCCUCCUAUGGUGUGCUCCUCCCCUCCUCCCCUGCUACUGUGCUCCUCCCCUCCCCUGGUUGUUGUUCCUGUUGUUGUGCUCCUCCCCUCCUCCCCUGGUUGAUGUGGCUGCUGGUGUGCCCCUCUCCUUGUUGCUGCUGCUGCUGUUGAGCACUUGUGCUCCUCCCCUGGCUGUUGCUUAACUCAGGUCGACUCGUCGCCAUGUCGACUCAUCGACCAUGAGUCUAGACUAGUCUAGACUAGUCUAGAGUCGCCCCCCUGAGCGACUCAUCGACUCAUCGACUCGAAAACAUUGCCUUAUGCAGAAACUACUGGAUACUUUACAUCAAGAUUGACCAAGUAUGUCCCUUGUUGCUUCAGACAUUAGUUAUCUUCCUGUUGUUAUUAUACCAGCUCCAUUGGUUUCUUAAAAGGUGACAUGCCCUGAUGGAUUUAUUACUCUGUAGAGUGUGUAAAAGUUUUUCAUUUUAUGCCUAUUUGGUGCUUUUAUCCGAACAGGCAGUAAUUUCUUUUGCAGGGGCAAAUGGCAGAAAAUAGCAUGGUUGACACCUUUUGUUCAUACAGAGGUUGAUGUUGGUUUGGUGAUUGAAGAGUUGGUCUCUUCCAUAAUAUUUUGUAGUGGUCAAGUGAUCAGACAUUUGGUCUGUUAGGAUCUUAGCCAUCAAAUUUUGCAACUUGUCUCUGUAUGUCAAUUUAUGUAUCUCCUUGAUGGUUGUAGCUAACUUGAGCGAAGAAAACAAAUGAAUCUUU